AUGGUUUUCGCCAAGGCCUCGCUGGCGUUGCUGGCCAUGGUUGGUGUGCCUCCUGUCUGUCGCACGGCGCCGCUACUCCGGCCACUGCGCCUUCAGGGAGGGGACUGCGCCGAGAGCUUCAAGGAGUUCAAGGCCAACAACAUCCGUGGCACCUUCCCUGUCCUGCUCCAGAUGGGCAAUGUCCUCGUGUUCGGCGGCCAUGUCCCCAUCGUCAAGGUGGGGCGGAUGGCUGGCCAGUUCGCCAAGCCGAGGUCUGGUAACUUUGAAAAGAAGGAUGGGGUUAAGCUGCCCAGUUACAGGAGAAAAAACGUCAAGGGCGACGCGUUUGAUCUGAAGGGCCGUGUCUGUCCCAGAUAG
This 357-nucleotide ribosomal RNA is filed under the name Triticum aestivum (bread wheat). RNAcentral's name for it is "partial small subunit ribosomal RNA". Lineage: Eukaryota; Viridiplantae; Streptophyta; Magnoliopsida; Poales; Poaceae. The record is from RNAcentral.